This 497-nucleotide ribosomal RNA is filed under the name uncultured bacterium. RNAcentral's name for it is "partial 16S ribosomal RNA". It matches the Rfam family "Bacterial small subunit ribosomal RNA", at positions 28 to 507 of the family's 1533-position model. The record is from RNAcentral.
GAUGAACGCUGGCGGCGUGCCUAAUACAUGCAAGUCGAGCGAACAGAUAAGGAGCUUGCUCCUUUGACGUUAGCGGCGGACGGGUGAGUAACACGUGGGUAACCUACCUAUAAGACUGGGAUCACUUCGGGAAACCGGAUCUAAUACCGGAUAACAUUUGGAACCGCAUGGUUCUACAGUGAAAGAUGUUUUUGCUAUCACUUAUAGAUGGACCCGCGCCGUAUUAGCUAGUUGGUAAGGUAACGGCUUACCAAGGCGACGAUACGUAGCCGACCUGAGAGGGUGAUCGGUCACACUGGAACUGAGACACGGUCCAGACUCCUACGGGAGGCAGCAGUAGGGAAUAUUGCGCAAUGGGCGAAAGCCUGACGGAGCAACGCCGCGUGAGUGAAGAAGGGUUUCGGCUCGUAAAACACUGUUAUUAGGGAAGAAGAAAUGUGUAUGUAACUGUGCACGUCCUGACGGUACCUAAACAGAAAGCCACGGCUAACUACGUG